RNAcentral lists this ribosomal RNA (355 nucleotides) under Triticum aestivum (bread wheat). RNAcentral describes it as "partial small subunit ribosomal RNA". The record is from RNAcentral. Lineage: Eukaryota; Viridiplantae; Streptophyta; Magnoliopsida; Poales; Poaceae.
AUAUUAUCUAUUUUGGAUGUUAAUGGGCUUAUUUUUACACUUCUAUAUUAUUUUUGGGACUAACCUAUUAACCGGAGGCCCAGCCCAAAUUGCUGUUUUUUGCCUAUUUUAGAGUUUCGCCGAAAAGGAAUAUCAAACAGAGUCCAAAUGGAAUGAAACCUUCGGGAGCAUUAUUUUUGGAACAAACGUGAUCCAGGAGACUUGGAGUGGACGUCAAGAAACAAUCAAGGAGGCCACGAGGCAGGGGGCGCGCCCACCCCCUGGGCGCGCCCUCCACCCUCGUGGGCCCCUCGUUGCUCCACCGACCCACUUCUUCCUCCUAUAUAUAUCCAUAUACCCCGCAAACAUCCAGGAG